AUUGAACGCUGGCGGCAGGCUUAACACAUGCAAGUCGAGCGGAGAGAGGUAGCUUGCUACUGAUCUUAGCGGCGGACGGGUGAGUAAUGCUUAGGAAUCUGCCUAUUAGUGGGGGACAACAUUUCGAAAGGAAUGCUAAUACCACAUACGUCCUACGGGAGAAAGCAGGGGAUCUUCGGACCUUGCGCUAAUAGAUGAGCCUAAGUCGGAUUAGCUAGUUGGUGGGGUAAAGGCCUACCAAGGCGACGAUCUGUAGCGGGUCUGAGAGGAUGAUCCGCCACACUGGGACUGAGACACGGCCCAGACUCCUACGGGAGGCAGCAGUGGGGAAUAUUGGACAAUGGGCGCAAGCCUGAUCCAGCCAUGCCGCGUGUGUGAAGAAGGCCUUAUGGUUGUAAAGCACUUUAAGCGAGGAGGAGGCUACUUUAGUUAAUACCUAGAGAUAGUGGACGUUACUCGCAGAAUAAGCACCGGCUAACUCUGUGCCAGCAGCCGCGGUAAUACAGAGGGUGCAAGCGUUAAUCGGAUUUACUGGGCGUAAAGCGCGCGUAGGCGGCUAAUUAAGUCAAAUGUGAAAUCCCCGAGCUUAACUUGGGAAUUGCAUUCGAUACUGGUUAGCUAGAGUGUGGGAGAGGAUGGUAGAAUUCCAGGUGCAGCGGUGAAAUGCGUAGAGAUCUGGAGGAAUACCGAUGGCGAAGGCAGCCAUCUGGCCUAACACUGACGCUGAGGUGCGAAAGCAUGGGGAGCAAACAGGAUUAGAUACCCUGGUAGUCCAUGCCGUAAACGAUGUCUACUAGCCGUUGGGGCCUUUGAGGCUUUAGUGGCGCAGCUAACGCGAUAAGUAGACCGCCUGGGGAGUACGGUCGCAAGACUAAAACUCAAAUGAAUUGACGGGGGCCCGCACAAGCGGUGGAGCAUGUGGUUUAAUUCGAUGCAACGCGAAGAACCUUACCUGGCCUUGACAUAGUAAGAACUUUCCAGAGAUGGAUUGGUGCCUUCGGGAACUUACAUACAGGUGCUGCAUGGCUGUCGUCAGCUCGUGUCGUGAGAUGUUGGGUUAAAUCCCGCAACGAGCGCAACCCUUUUCCUUAUUUGCCAGCGAGUAAUGUCGGGAACUUUAAGGAUACUGCCAGUGACAAACUGGAGGAAGGCGGGGACGACGUCAAGUCAUCAUGGCCCUUACGGCCAGGGCUACACACGUGCUACAAUGGUCGGUACAAAGGGUUGCUACCUAGCGAUAGGAUGCUAAUCUCAAAAAGCCGAUCGUAGUCCGGAUUGGAGUCUGCAACUCGACUCCAUGAAGUCGGAAUCGCUAGUAAUCGCGGAUCAGAAUGCCGCGGUGAAUAAGGUCCCGGGCCU
This 1359-nucleotide ribosomal RNA is filed under the name uncultured bacterium. RNAcentral's name for it is "bacterial SSU rRNA". It matches the Rfam family "Bacterial small subunit ribosomal RNA", at positions 28 to 1381 of the family's 1533-position model. The record is from RNAcentral.